UAAUUGCGCGUCAACUUGUGAACUGCAGGACACAUGAACAUCGACAUUUCGAACGCACAUUGCGGUCCACGGAUACAAUUCCCGGACACGCCUGGCUGAGGGUCGUUUAUGCAUAAAAGUAAGACUGCUGCGUGUUUUUUACGCGCUAGCGAAUAUAAUGGGCGUUCGUCGAUUGGAAACCAGCAAAGCGCCUGGGGAACGAUCGGCGUCGCUUGAAAUGAAUUAGUCGCGCCGGGUCACGGAGAUCGAGCGUCUUUCGACCCUCGAUCCGGAUCCCGUGACAAGCGUCCGCUUCGCGCGUUCCGUGCUUAAUAAACACGGGAUCGGGCGUGCGGACGCGAGACUCAUUGAGAACCGAGCCGAGCCACAAAGUUUGAGCUGAGCCCGAGAGAUCGAGAAAAUACCAUACGAACGCUCGUCGUUCGUAGGGCGUGUUCCCCGAAUCUCGCGUAAGAGAAUACCGCAAACACAUUGAAAAGUGGACGGUCCGAGCAUCGCUCAACGGCCGGUCGAUCGAGUCCCGGAGCUAUAUCCAUAGUUUGAAGGACAGAUCCGACCCGUGUACGUUCGUAGCAGCUCGCACCCCGUCGUGUUGCGCUUCUCCGAAACGCGUGCGGUUCGAAAGGGACAAUUGAACGCGAAAUGUCCACGGCUUUUCCGAUCACGUAUCUCGGCUCUUCCAAUAUUUGCGGCUCGAAUCUUCUCAUUGUUUCGAUAUAAUCAACGACCUCAGAGCAGGCGAGACUA
This 747-nucleotide unclassified non-coding RNA is filed under the name Diadegma semiclausum x Diadegma fenestrale. RNAcentral's name for it is "partial contains 5.8S rRNA, ITS2 and 28S RNA". The stretch from base 1 to 105 matches the Rfam family "5.8S ribosomal RNA", at positions 50 to 154 of the family's 154-position model. The record is from RNAcentral. Lineage: Eukaryota; Metazoa; Arthropoda; Insecta; Hymenoptera; Ichneumonidae.